UCCGCAGUAGCACAAUGGUAGUGCAGCUCGCUGUUAACGAGAAGGUUGUAGGUUCGAAUCCUACCUGCGGAG
This 72-nucleotide transfer RNA is filed under the name Candidatus Pacearchaeota archaeon. RNAcentral describes it as "tRNA-Asn". It matches the Rfam family "tRNA". From Rfam's summary of the family: Transfer RNA (tRNA) molecules are approximately 80 nucleotides in length. Their secondary structure includes four short double-helical elements and three loops (D, anti-codon, and T loops). The record is from RNAcentral. Lineage: Archaea; Nanobdellati.